AAUGCUAGGAAGUAUAUAAAGGAAGUGUGAUAGAGAGAGUCUGUUGUUAGCAGUGUUGUAAGGUUAGAGGAGCCCUUUCUGCAAAGGAGGCAUGUGACCUGAGACAAUCAGUCACUUGGGGUGUGUAUAAAAUGUAUGUACUGACUCCCUGAGUGUCUGCAUGGUUAGCACCUUAGUAAUAUUCCCCAGUGAGAUAAUGGUGAGAAGAAGUAAGUGGGCAUUUAUUAAUUGCUAUAUUAUAUUACUGUUGGUGUUUCUUAUGAUAGAACUUUUUACAAUCUCAUGAAAUAUUAUUGUCCCACCUUACAAAUAAGGAAACUGAUGAAACUGACAAAAGAUAGAUUAGCAAAACAAAAAGCGUAUUUAAUAACAUAUGGACAAAAGUUACCAAAACAUGUAGCUCAAAGGGGCAAACAGGCAUUCCAUUCUCACCCAUGAGUGCGUGUUUGUAUUUACAGUUGUGCUGUUUUUACACUGUCAGAGCAUACGGCACAUGUUAUAGGGUACUCUCUACCCUAUAUUCUGCUCAGUACAGAGCAUAAGGAGAUAACUAUCACAGCUUUAGGUUUUUUUUAAUUGUGUUAAUGUUGAAUCAAAACUUUCCUUUAGGUGUGCAUAUAAAAGGGAAUAAGAAAGGGAACCAACUAUGUUGAUAGAGGAAUAAUUCUUCAAAUGAAUGUUACAUUAAGAAAUUGUCAAUGAAACACUGCUGUUAAUAAUAUAAAAGGUUUUAUGUGUUAGAUUCCUCUGAAUAUAACUUUCACAUUUUGUCCUCUUUUGUGCUAAUAGAACAUUCUAGUAUGCCAGUAGAAAAAAAUAUCACUUUAGAAAGGCCUUCUAAUGUAAAUCUCACAUGCCAGUUCACAACAUCUGGGGAUUUGAAUGCAGUAAAUGUGACUUGGAAAAAAGAUGGUGAACAACUUGAGAAUAAUUAUCUUGUCAGUGCAACAGGAAGCACCUUGUAUACCCAAUACAGGUGAGUAUACAAAUUUUAACCUACCUUGCUCACCAAAAGUAGCUUAAUUCUAAAUAUUUUUGCUGACUGAGCAUUCUUUCCUCUGCAGCCACUUGAAUGUUAUGCUAAUAUUCUAAUUUGCAUAUUUACAGAGUUAUUUCUCUUUUUAAAUUUUUAUUAAUGGCUAAGUCUUUUCAUUUUCAUCAAGGUUUUGAGAACUAAGCCUAUAUUAAUAACUUGAAUUAUCUUUAGGUUCACCAUCAUUAAUAGCAAACAAAUGGGAAGUUAUUCUUGUUUCUUU
RNAcentral lists this long non-coding RNA (1256 nucleotides) under Pan troglodytes (chimpanzee). Its description in RNAcentral is "long non-coding RNA NONPTRT013590". The record is from RNAcentral. Lineage: Eukaryota; Metazoa; Chordata; Mammalia; Primates; Hominidae.